UUUUUUUUUUUUUUUUUUUUUUUUUUUUGGUUUUUUCAGUCUCUCCAUUAAUUUUUUCCCCACUUUUUUGGUUUCCAAACUACAUAUUAUUUUCCCUUGAAGUUCCAAGUCGCCCAAAUGGUCAACCCUGGACGUCACAUCCACAGAUCUUUAUCCCUGGCGAUACCCCGUCUGGUUCAUGUCACUUGAGAAAUUGAUAUCCUGUUGCAGCAACCAUAUACACAGAGCUGUAUAAUUAUUGCUUGUGAAAAAUGAUGGGCUGUUUGAGUUGAGCACACAAACUUGAAAUUCAUGGCCAUCCAUACAGGGAUUUGGAGCCUCCGCAGUUUGACCAAUUGGCCGCUCCAAAUUGGAUUGCCAUCAAUAUAUAAUUCUCAAAAUUUUAGGAAAAAAAAAUAAAUAAAUCGAAGCCCAAAUUCAGUGGGUAAAAUUAGAUGUCGCUUGACCUAAGCCGCCAACCAUUAUCUGCAACUGCAAGUACAACUGUAGACAGUCUCAUCCUAACAUACAAAAUGUACUGUGCAUUGUUGAGACUGGCGUCUCUUAAUAGUCAUCUAUCCCGUAUCAUCCGGCCUUGCAAGUAUAAUACAUUUAAAAAAAAAAAAAAAAAAGGCAAGUUUGUCGCCAAAAAAAAAAGAAAAAAGAAAAACCAAAUUAAUUAGUUUCGUCAGGUUAAUUAAGGCUUGGUGAAUAAAAAACCAUACUACUAUUUCAUUUGACUACCAGAAAUUAAAGAUUUACCGACUGCUGCAAUCAGUUUAUAUUAUGCGGAGAACUACAAAAAAAAGCUAAGAAUUGGCAAUUUUCAAGGGGUGACAAUUGUAUAGGGAAGCAGCUGAUGCUUUAGUGAACAGGAUUCAUGUGGGUUCUAAAAUCGGCCGUGGGCUGGGAACACGACUAGCAAGUUGACAAGGGUGAUGACCUUGCAGCAAAAAAAAAAAAAAAGAAGGUUGGCCUUUUCUUGGAACUAAUAAAUGUCUAUCUUAUACAGUAGCAUGGGAUUCAAGAUUUUCAAAGUCGGCUAAGGACCACAAACCAAACCGGUUGAUACACGAUAGAGUGGGAUAAUAGGCACACCGAUAUUUAAAAAGAUAAUAUGCCACUCUCGGUAAGGUAUGGUAUGGCUACUAAAUAAAUGCAUUUUCCCCUGCAAAGUGUCCAGGUUUCACACGGUUCCUAUCUCACACAUAUUCAAUAUAUAUAUAUAUAUAUUGUUCUAGUCUAGAGGGGAGGAGGGAGGGGUGGGCGGUGCCGCCGGUGGGGCUUUGGCCUUUGGCCCUGGUAGACUUGACAGGAGUGGGUACGUAAUAUUUUUGGGGGUCAAGAAGCUGCGGGUAAAUGUUGCGGAUGCGUGUAGCUAGGACGGGUUGGGUGGGUGGGGGAAAGAGGACAGCAGAGGUUUCCCCAGUUGAGCAAGCUAACUCCAAAUUGUGUGUUUCAUUUCUUUUCAUGACCGGUGGUGCCAUGCAUUUCAGUUCUUCCACAAAUGAACAUUACUUGUUCAACUGGACUACUUUUGUUUUGGGCGGUGAGGGGUACUAAGACCGCAAGAGACUUUUGACCACUUUCCUUGGUUUUAUGACCAACCAUUUCUGGUUUAACUAAUCCUGAUCCAUCCUCUAGUUAGGCAGAUACAGAUUUUACACCUUUUUUUUUCCUUUUUCCUUUUCAAUUUCUUUUCUUGGAGGGACUAUAGAAAAACGUCCCUGAUACAUAUAUUAUGUGUGCGUGGUGACAGUAGUAGUGUCUCAUUAGGGGAAACAGCAAAAUCAUUAUGGGAAAUUGGACUGGUCAUAUAUCUUUUACCCCUCCUACUCCUGCCCGAUGCCUAGUCCCCUUGUUUCUUGGGUCUAACAUCUCAAAACUUAUAAUUAAGCAAGCAAUAAAUAGUACUUACAUGAAUUUUUUUUUUUGGUUUAAAAAAAAAAAAAAAGAAAGGAUAUGUGGGAUUAGCGUACCAUGUGAUUGUGAUGGUUAAAAUAGGAAUGAUGAAGUCUGGGGUUGUAGGAGUGAAAUUGGUAGUGGGGUUGAUCCUGGGUCCAUGUCGAUGAAGCCUCAGGUGUUGUGGGUGGCUCGGAGGAGGUCUCGGAAUCAUGAUCUGGUUGCUGCUGGCAUUCUAGGUUUACACCAAACAACCUCAGUCUCUUGGAGUUGGCACUUGCUGCUGCUGUUGUCUGACUCUGCAACACUGCUGCUGCUAUAAUCAUAACACGUGCGCUCAUUAGCAUCUGCUAGUACUAGGGUUAUACUCAUUUCACUCACUCCAGAUAAAAUGAACUCUCUCUCCCUCUCUGACGCUGGGUGGGGAGACAAAGUUGAAAAAACAAUACAUGUUGUAUAAGCAUAUACAGUAGUGCAAUGGCAAUAAAGACACAGAGUAGAAUUGUGCAAGAGUACCAUCUUCAUUUCAGUUACUGCAAUGUGACAAAACUCGGGUUCUCUUGUCAUCAGCCAAACCCAGACUACAUCUGAAUACUGACGACCAUCUAACUUAUAAUAUGUCUAACGUUACAAAACUUGAAUUGCGUAGACAUCACGGGUCAUAUUCGUCGUAUAUCAUUGGGAAAAAUAAUCACCCCACCUUAUUAUUACCCAUAUAACUAGUCAACACAUAGACUCGUAUGCCAGAUGGAAAUGGAGUCAAGAAGAAGAAAAUGUGGUAAUGAAAAACAUGUCAAUCUCACGCCCCUUUAACGUGCGCCUGAUAAAACCCAAGGGGCACAAAAAUCCAUGGCUAAAAUAUGCAUGUCUACACAUGGUAGUUAAUGCAGAGAAGAAAGAAACAAAAAGAGAAGAUAGGGUUCUAAUUCUAAUUGUGAAAAUGCGGGUAGUAGGAAAAUGAUACCUGCACGAAGACAGUCGGGUUGGUAUGGGAGGGCAGGCCCAUGACCAUGACCAUGACCAUCAUCAUGGUACUGCUGCAGCUGUUGUGGAUAAGGAUGAUGCCCGGAUGGAAAGUACACCCGGGUCCACCCACCUCCACCUCCACCUCCUCCGCCGCCCGACGUAGCUGGCUGAGCUUGAGCGGCUCCAGUACCCUCUUGACCACCUUGGCUUGGACCACCUGCUCUCCUUUUCCUCCACCCUAUAAAAAGCCGGUCACCGUCUAGACGGUGCCGUUCGAACAGAACUACAUCCCCCGCAUCCAGCCGUUUCUCUUUCACGAAACGGCUCCAGCCCUUGGUCAAUACGUAGCUCUGGCUGCUGUUCCAAUAAGAAUAUCGAAACCGCCACCCCUUGCCGGACUCGUCCUCGAAACUCAGUAACAGCCCUUUCUCUCCUCCCGCCGAGUCAUUGUUGCCGCCGCCGCUGAGAGGAAAAUAUUUCUCGGCGUGUUGCUUCGGGAUGACGAGGCGGUUGAGCUUGCCGACGUCACUCGGGGUCAAUGGCUUCUCGAACAAGGGCUCUUUGGGUACUAUUUCCUUGUCUUCCUCUUGUUUGGUGAUGAUGCGGGCGUUGCUUUCCCUCUCAUCCUCAAUGGCAGUAGCUUCAUCCUCCUCUUCGUUGUUUAGGUCGAAGCUGAAAGCUGCCGAAUUAUGCGGACUGUGGGCGGAGAUUGGCCGGUAGAGGUGGGAAUUGGGCCAAAAGGCGGCUGCGGUGGUGGUGGUGGUGGGCCUGGAGGGUGGAGUUUUUGCGGAGGAGGGUUCCAUGGUAUGGUGGUAGUGAUGUUGUUGUUGAGGCCACCGGUAGUGUGUUUCUGGGAGGUCCGAAGAGAAGUGGUUGAUGGACAUCACGAAGAUCGAUAAAUUUUAAAAUAGAAGGCGAGAAGAAAGGAGAGAAUGUGUUAUGAUUUUGUGAAAAUCUUUGUAGUAGUAGGAGCAAGGCGGUGAUGGAUGAUGCUAAGCAGAAGUAAUGGGACUGAGAGAGAGAGAGAGAGAGAGGGUGGGUGUUUUGGGUUCGUGAGGGGGGACGCCGAGAGGCGUGAUUUGAUUAUGGUUGGUUUUUGAUGUGGGAACUAUUCUUUCUAUAGUAUUUGAAGUACCCCCCAACCCCAAGAGAUAUACUACAAUACUGUACUCCCAACUACUAAGUGACACUACUAGUACUGCGUGUUUUUGUGUGUUUGUUGUGUGUGUGAGUGUGAAUACGAGAGAGAGAGAGAGGGGGGGGGGCUUGGGAUGCACUUGGGAUGGGAUUGUUGGGGGGGGAGGAAUAUCAUAUCGUCGUCGUCGUCGUCCGGUCGUCGUCAUCAUCAUCAUCAUGGUAAUUCAUGUACAUGCGUAUGCAGAAGUACGAGAGUACUUUUCAAGGUUUUGCGUGAUGAGAAAAUCAUCAAUCAUUAUAUUCAGUGCAAAAUUUAUAUGGUCGGUACUUUUGCCGAUUCAGUAUUAUAAGUAUUAGUAAGAUUUAAUAAGAAGAAGAGCAUCAGGAUGGAAAAACGGGACUACUGAAAUUGGCAGCAGAACACGUAGCGCGGUUGAUGAAUCUUUGAGAAAGAAGAGAGAGAGAUUCUCCACUACCGUACCACCACCCCAGGGGUGAACAAUAAUAAAUACUACAUUAUUACAUCAUCGAGUCUUGAGAAAAAGGAGGGGAAAAAAAAAUAUAUAUACUGUAUGAUGCUAAUAAGUAAUAACACACACACCCAUGUUACCAUGCUGAUGGAUUGAUUGGUGGUGGGUCUUGUGACUUUCAAAGUCCUCAGUUUCUUAACCAGCUCACACGAGUCUACUACACAUUACCGUGACUGAAGUCUACCCAUUAAUUCCAAUAUUGCAAUCCAAAAAAUCAAUCCAAUGGCGGUGGCCUCAACCCUUCUCCUCCUACUUUUCAUAUUCAUUUUCCCUAAAGUUGAUGUACCUCCCUUAGUAUUAGGUUGACAAUAACAAUAAUAGUAUUUGUAUUGUGGAGCCGGGAUUUAUUUUUACUGGUAUGACAGGUGACCAGCUAGACAGCUUGUAGCUAGUAGUAAUCCCUCCAGAAUACUACUGCUUUGAUAGUCCUGAUUCUUUUUUCGCACAGUUUAAUAAAAAGUAGUUAACUUAAUUUGUUGAAACAAUCAAUUUAGAUAGCUAUUUUUUUUUCUAAAAUACCCUCACAUUAGUUAGACUACAACUUUAUGGGAACUUGAAUUGAUAGAAAAACAAAAAAAAAAAAAAGAAUCGACUCUCAUUAAAUAGGGUAGGUUUGUAGUAACAACAACUUACAUUGAAUAAGGGUAUUUUACGAAAAUUAAAAUACAACUAUAUUUUUCAAUUGGAAAGUGGACUACAAUUUGGAACAGACGAAAAAGGAAAACGGGACUAUCAAAGUGGGACGGAGGAGGAGGGAGUGUAUAAGAUUGGAAAGUGAUUUCAGUUUUAUGACCCUUUGUCAUGUAAAAGCUGCAAGUGGAAAUGCCAUCUCCAUCGGUUUUACUUAAAUUAGUCCUAGGUUGACGAAAUAUCUCCCCAACCAAAAAACCUUAAAACAACCCUGCCUUUCUUAAAUCAAGGAAUUAAGCGAUUGCACGGUGACUUUACAUCAUUGUUUAUUACGUGUGCUGGAAUUCUACGAAAUUGAGAGAUGUGGAUGGAUAAUAUCAUCAUCUCUUCCACUCCGUUAGCUGAAAUGAAAAUUUUUAACAUCUGUUGGACAAUUCAGACUUUUAGGUGAAGAUUGAAAGAAUUGGUAGUGGUAAACGUAGGGAGGGAUUGCAGAAAGAAGCUGGAGGCGUAAUUCAGCUCACGUGCAUGACAGCAGAAUUAUUGAUGAUGUUUGGCCAGUCCUAGUUCAUCAUCAUUCAUUCAUAUAUAUAUAUAUACACGAUCGAGCAGAGCAAGAAAAGAAUAGUAAUAUUUGCGGGAGGGUCUGAUUCUGAUCUAAACACCAGACAUGGAAUUCCAGUAAGCACAGGGAUGAGAUAAGAUUUGUCCAAUAGGAAAACCAGUACAACUGCUUGCUUAGACUUCUUCUGGUUUCAUUAAUUUCUAUUAUUAUUAUUAUGAUUAUUCUUCUUCUUCUUCUUCUUCUGCAAUCGUGUUUCAAUCCUCUCCUCAUGUCAUACAAUCGUACGCGUACAACCCACCCCUCCUCUUCCGUCCCUCUCGAUCUCACACAUUAAUAAUAAUCACGCUCUCUAGCUACUUACACACAAUACAGCAGCAUCUCUGUGUCCCUAUCUCAUGUUUUAUGUUCCAUAUUCAAUUCGGCUGUGGCCAUAUUUUGCAUAUAUCUUCUGUGCGUUUUGUUCCAAGUAUCAGACAAAAGCCCCACCUCUUUUUCCAGGUAGAUGCAGACACCCUUUUCUUCUCACAAAAAGGUUGGACUGACUGACUGACGGACUGACUAGUUUUUUUUUAUUUACUACGUACCGCUACUACUACUAUCGUAUAUCAUAUUGAUUGAUCAAUUAAUAAUAAUAAUCAUAUCAUAAUUAAUUAGUGGAGGUCGUUGCGCCAUCUUAUGCUGCCUUGCAUCUGAUCAUAUAUAUAUAUAUAUGUCUAUCUACAAUUUGCUUUGCUCAUCUCACUCCAGCCCAUGACACAUCCUCAUCAAAUAUAAAUUAUAUUCACGUCACAUGCGACUACUGGAUAUACUUCCCAUUCCCCCUCCUCCGUUCACCUAAGUUUCAUGUAUCACGCCAAUAGCCAAAGUGAAACUGUUGAUGUUUAAGAAUUCAAUACUACCAGUUGGUUUCAUUAUGCACUGACAGUUCAAUUCAGAACUAAAAAGGUCUAGUUGCUUUGUAGGGGAAUCUAGCUAGCAUGUUAUUAUCGGAGAGUUAAUUUCUGUCAUUUCUUUUCUUUUUUAUGUUCACACGCUAGAAGAGAAGAGAUUGACUCAUCAUGCAUGAUGAGGUAGACAACUAAUUAACUAGUGUAUAUCGAUCGAUAAUGCAAUUAUCAGUAACGUAACACAAUCCAUCAUGCAUAGUUAUGCAUUAAAAUGGCAUGUUGAGUCAUGCAGUUCGAGUAUUUGAUAGGUGAAUUGAAUUGCACAAGAAGAAGAAUAGGAAUGUAGAAACUCAUCGUCAUUGUCAACUGUCAAGUUUUAGUUACGUAAUUAAAACCUGUUGGACCAAAAAUAACAUGCCGCAGCUGUUGUAUAUGCUGAAUACAUAUCUAGUUUUCUGCUAGUCAAGUUUAUUCGUAUAUGGUCCCGGAGCGAGCGCAAAAUAAUACAAUUGACCGUUCUUGUUUCUAAUAGCAGUGUAUUAUUUAACAUAUAUACUUCUUGUUCCCAACUUAAACCCACCUGCAUUUUCUUUCUUUAUAAUACAUCGCCAGUCUCUGCCACUUUCUAUAUAUGAAGGGGCCUGGGAACACGUGAAGGUAUAAUGACCAAGUUUUUCAAGACAAUAUUCAUGAUUGAGCUAUUUUGUAGCAUAAGAAAUCCAAUUGUUUAUGACUUUGAGACAGACCUCUGCAGACGGCAUCAGUUCAUGUAUGAUUUAACAGACCUCACUCCCCAAAACCCAACCCUUAGACCAAGAACAAUGCACCAUAAUCCAAACCCCCUGAUGCCGAUCUCCAUUAUCUCAAGCUUCAUGGAUAUAUAUAUAUAUAUAUAAUUGAAUAAUUCCCAAUUGUUAAGUUGUUGGUGAAGAAAUCCUUCCCCUUGAGCAUGAUUACGUACGUAUGGAUUAUGGAAUCAAGUAAUUCAUGUAUUUGCGUUUUCUAAUUGCCCGGGUUGUAUUUAAUUAAUCAACUAUGGCGUUCGUUGAAUUAGGAAACGAUACAAUAAAUGUGCAGUUGCUACCUAAUCGAGACAUGACUCCAGUAUUGGGAUUAUAAUCUGCUGACAAAGUUGUUUAUUUCCUGUCUCCAUGUUCUCGAGCUAUUUAGACUUCACUUGCUGGAAAGGUCAAUCCAUUCCACUUUGACGAUCUUUGGCUGUUUAUUGGUGUCCCCUUUGUCCGUUGAUUCUGACUAAUUGAUGGUUUAAAUAGUAGAAGUGAUCAACCGACGAAUAAUAUAUAGCAUAAACAAUUUAUGUUUUCUGAUUAAACUGCAAAAGAUCAUUUGAUUGAAUUUUCGGACAACCAGUAGCCACAAUUUUCAAACGUAGGUCUUACUUCUCUUUGGGGGGCGGGGGGGGGGGGCAAUAAUUGAAGAAGGAAUCAAAAGAUGCAUAAUGGACGUCCUAAUUCUGGGGAAUUUUUCUGGCACCUUUGGAUGUUCAGAUGGCUUCCAAAUGUCAUUAUUGUGAUAUAUUUAAAGCGAAGAUUAGCAACCCAAAAAAAGAAAAAAAAAAAAGUGAUGGUCAUCAUAAAAUAAAAUCCUCCCGUUGAAUUUUCUGUUCUUGCAUUUCUGGUCGUCGGGUCGGGGUAGGGGACCUCUUAUAUCAUUUAUCAAAGCAAAUUGGGAUCCAUAUACAUGUCUUGAGAUUGGACCAUACAACCUGUUCACACACAGUCAUGGAGCCGUUAUAUUAGACUCUGAAAUCUAGGUGGGCCUAAAUCUAUUUGUCAUCAGGAGAGGAGAUGUGCCUAAUUAGAAAGGGGAUGUGGAAAAAAGGAAGGAAAGAAUGGUUAAAAACCAGUCUUGCUCCGCAAAGGUACAAAAAUUAACCAAGGAACCGUGUCAACUUUCCCUUCUCUGUCUCUCUCUUUUUCUUUUUUUUUUUUCUGAUGGAACGGGUGUCCGGAUCAAUCCUUACGGGACCCGUCUAAUCCUAUUCCGAUCCGGAAGAAGAGGCCUUAUUCUCCCGAACACGAUAACUACGGGAUUCGGACCCUUACGAAUACUGGAUACCAGCUUCUAAGGAGACUUGCUGAGACCAAUCGAACCGCCUAUGAGGGACGUACAAUUUGAUAGGAGGCAAGAGUUGAACCCCUGACCUCCCACCUCACCGGGAGAGGUGGUGGCCAACUUUCCCUUCACUCUCUGUUUAAUAAUGAAGAACAUGUACCAUAGGACUGCAUUUUUCAGGAAGAACGUGUCAUGUCCACCUAAAAAAGAAAUUUUGCCGUGCUCAAUUUAAUUGGGAAGGACCGAAUCUUCUUUUUCCUUUCUUUCCACGUUUUUCGUGGAAAUUCUGCUAGAGGGGGGGGGGGGGGGGGUUGUGAUUUCUGGAAAAAGGAAAUCAGAGUAAUAUCUUCCUCGAGGGUACGUUAGAGUGCAGGAUUUCAAGUGAAGAUAAUAAAAUACUGUAGUGAUACAAGUGAUGUUGUUGUUCAAUCUAAAAGACAUGACAAACAGAUAUGUAGUACGUACCUGCGUAAUUACUUUCCCCAAAGGUAGCGGCAUAUCCCCACCAACUAUCCCGAAGACAUUCGUUCGUUUACGGCUUGAAGGAGAUUUUGAGAUCACUUUCUUCACUAACUCUUCUGUGGGUUGUACUUAUUGACAUGGAUAUGGAACCAUUUCAUUGCUACGAGUACUCAUUUUAGCAAGGAAACAAGGGCCACCUACCACCAUGAGUUUACUUUCAGUUUCACCAACUACAAGUCAUGAACUACUUGCUACAUUCGUGCAUGCAAAUCGGAAAUUGGAGCGGCGGACUUGCCUGCUACUUGAUCACAUUUUUUCUUUUAGAAAUGUUAGUGAAAGAACGAUGAGAUUUAAAAAGUGAACAGAAAAAAAAAAAAAAAAAAAAAAGAGAAGCUAAACCUAGGAUUUUGGAUUUCUGGCGUUUCAAUCUUAAUCAUUAGAAUAACAUCUCCUCAAGAGUUGCUUGAUCACUUGCCCACAGUCAACUAUGAUAGAAAAUUCUAGCAUUCUAGUCUAUAGAAUAUUAUAUUCUAUACAAAAGAAGCAUGGAUUCAAGAGCUUUUGAAAAACUGUUUUUGUCUUUCAAAUUUACAGUAAUAAACUCUAAAAGUAAUUCAAAAAACCAACUCAAAAAAAACACAUCUCAAAUACACUAAAAAAAAAAAAAAUAAGAAUUCCUUCUUUUUUCUUCACCUAUCACCCACCAUCAACUUUCAUCAUAUACCAUCACCCGUCGCCACCUCUCUUUCUUCUCUCCUCUAUCCUCCUCCCUCCGCCCCACUCCUCUCCCGCAACUCCCCUUCUCCUCCCACCCUCUUUGGUCGCCACCCGCGACCAGGUGACCAAAAACUAGCUGCCAACUAUGGCGACCAAUUUUUGGUCGUGAGGGGGGUGGAAAAAGUUUUAUAGAAUUUUAAAAUAUUUUAUUAAAAUUUUAGAUUUUAAAAAUAUCAAAAAAUAUAUUUUCAAAACCAUCCAAAAAAAAAUAUUAAAAAUACUUAUCAUAAAAGUUUUUCACAUAUAGUAUUACAGUAAAAUAUUUUAAAAACAUUCCCAAAGCAGCUAAUCCUAAAAUAUUUUCUCAAGGCUUUUAUUUCCGUGAUAAGUAAUUACAUGCCGUUAAGCUAAGAGUUUAUUUAGGAAAUGGAGCAGGGACAACCAUCAGGACGAUUUACGGCUAUAAUUGGUCAAUAUAUAUAUAUAUAUAUAUAUAUUUCUCAUGUCAUAUGUCAGUGAAUUACACAUUGAAGAAAUGAAUGUGCAUCAUGUAGCGGAAUCGUACAAAACUGACAUGAUGUCCCAAAUCCGUUUAUUUAAUCUUCAGGAUGGAUUAUUUGUAUAGUUCAUUUUUUGUCCAUUAUUGGAAAAAAGUAUGGGUUGCAAAAGUAGUGGUAGCCUAGACCCUAGUAGCAGCAGCAGCAUAGAGAAGCAGCCACGUCUGCGUUUUUUUCCUGGUGGUCCGGACCGGCUCCAAAUGCCAAAUGGUCCUUCAAGUCGAAGAUCAAUUCCAUUCCAUCCGCAUGGUACGUAGUAGUAGUAUAUUAAAAACGGCAGAGCAGAGAAGGCGUGCGGGGACUUCUCCAAACUGGGGCCCACCAGAUCAAAACACCAACAUUUGUGAUUCAGCCCAAUUUGGCCCACACGCCAUAUAUGUUUCUGAUACAUGCAACUAUUUUUGCUCUAGUCCCGUGAGUGCGUGCGUGUCUGGUUGUGUCCAUGAUUCAAUCUUCUUCGCUGCCCUAAGAACAAAAUUCUGAAAUUGGGAUAAUGACACGCGGGAGAUAUCUGUGGCAGCAACACAAAUGGGGUACAUUGCAUGGGGUGGAAAUGCGGGACCAUGAAUGAUGGGAGCCGGUCCAGCAACAGUGCGUGGUCCCAAAUCGAUGAGCCUCAAGGCCCUGAUCAGCAUCAUCGGCCGAGAAUUUUGAACCCAAUGAAUCAGAGAAGAAUGGCUGAAGGUGCCACCACCGGUUUCAGGAAGAAAGGUCCCUGCCCUGCCCUGCCCGUCCCGUUAGCUCAGCGGGCUGGAAUUGGAUGCGAUAAGGAUUUGAGGAGUGUCAAAGUCAGGUCCAGAUUAAUCUCCAAUAAGGACUGGACGUUGCGGAUGCAAAACGAAAUGCAACUUUCAGUGUCUGCCUGCUGUCUUGGAAAAUUCUUUGAAAGGGAAAAUUUGUAGAAGCCAAAAGGAAUCAUGCAAUUGCUAAAUGGACCGCGACCGCUUUUCCUCGUUAACCACAUGAAUCUUUCCAAGUCCCGUGUCCCUUUUCACACAAAAAAUAUGCCAAAAUGGCCAACCCGAAAUGCCAUUUUUAUCACACGCUGCUGCGCUUAAUCUUCUUGUUCUAGAACCUUUUGAAUUCUUGUCCAAAAUUCGGCCUACAUGGGAUUGCCCUUUCAAUGCUGAAAUUCUACCUUUGUCCGGUUUAAACUCUUGCGAGGCACGAUUAACUUGCUCUGUGACUAGCAAAAGACCAAGAUUUAACUUGCAUGUACUUGAAAUAUAAUAGGUUUGUUUGGAUUGUAAGUUAUUUGAGAUAUUUUUACUGUAGCACUUGUUGUGACGUGAUGUAUAUAAGAUAAAAAGGUAAUUGAGAAGAUAAAAAGGUGUAUUGGAAAUCGUAAUGAUGAUGUAAGCAAAUAAAAUUGGGAAAAUAAUGCUCAAUUAAUAUAACCCGUACCAAGGCCGAACUAAUGGACUUCUUGGUUGGCAUAAGAAUGCUCUGCUCCGCCUGGUCUUCCCAUGUCCUACCCGCUGCCUGAAAGGCUGAAAGCCACAAAAUAUUUGACACAGACCCGUAAGAAAAAGAAGACGAGCAAAUUAAACCGGAAAAAGGGGAGUACAAAAUAUCAUCGUAAAGGUUGAAAUAUUUCUCCCCAGAUGCAAUUAAUUUGCUUAGCUUUUUCCUAUGCUGGUAUUUUUGAGGUCGAAAUCCGGUACACAUGAUAAUCUAGCCACCUAGACCUGGACAUUUAUUAGCAUGAGGUGACAACGACUUUGAAAAGUCAUUACUCAUUCGCACAUGUUUACAAUUUUUCACUUUUCCCGUUCAUUGAGAUGAGAUGGAGCAUCGAUCGCAUCAUGUUCUCUUCUCUGCUUUUGUAGAGUAUUAUUUAUUUGACUAAUGGACCGACCUCGCCUAACUUUGAAAAACCCUACCAACAGCUGAAGAAGACAGCUGCUUUUCGUCAUCAAUUGCGUCAACAGCAAUUAGAUUAAAAUUUUGCAACAUUAAUUUUGUUUUCGAGACAUCCCUCCUGCACUGCGCGUCAAUUUUCACGAAGCUUUCUAUUCUUGAGUCGGCAGCCAUCUUAUGCGCAAGAAAUUACCUUUGCAUGUAUCCACUUCGCAGAGCGGAUGCCCAGUCGAUAAUCAGUUUUUCUCUUCCGUGUUUGCAUAAUUUCCAGUAAAGUGAGGAAGAAAAAGAGAUUGUGGUAUAUAUUGAUCUUAUUGAAAAUCCCAUUUGUAUAUGCCAAAAAAAAAAUGCGUUCGGAGCUUAUUGACGUCCAAAAAAUCAGGAAUCACAUCAAUUAGCUGCUGCUGGAGUGGUAAUAUUGAGAGAGCCAAUUCUCGAUAAUCUUGAUCUCUCUUCUCCUCGCAUGCUUCAGCCAUUCUGGAUCUUCAGGUGUCGAGAAUCUAAGGUCCACAUGGUGUGCACCUGUGACACAAAAAAAUCCACACCGUACGUACAAAACACGUCAUCAAUUUCACUUUACAUUAUUAUUAUUUUAUUAUUAAAAAAAAAAAAAAAAAAAAGCUUGGCGUACGAGAUUUCUUCGCUUGAAAACUUGGCAUACUAGGUCAAGUUCCAAAUUGUCAAAGGCAACAUGCUUAAAUUUUGCUUUUCUUAAGAAGUGUGUGUAAAUGGCAAAAAAAACUAAUGGCAGUAAAGUAAACUGACCUUCCUUUGCAACAAUGGCUACGAGGCUUUUCGAUAUAUCCUUUAGCACCCUGCAAUAAUUACAUGCAUUAAUUGCAACACCAAGGCGGCCAUAUCAUAUAGAAAUCUCUCAUUCCGAACGAAGAGACGACUGACCCUCCCCCGCUCCAUGGAUCCCUCAGUCCGUUGAAGAAAAUGAUGUUGCUUCCGAAGCGCUUCAAAACUCUCUGAAUGUUCUGUCAGGGAGAACAACAACGCAACAAAACACGCUCAACCUCGUUCGCAUUAGGCGUCAGGAGUCAAUCCACAUUCAUCAUUACUGUUAUUAAAUAUGCACUAUACACAAAGAGGUGGGUUUGGCCCUCACAUGGCCACCGAACUCCGUGGUAAUCCAGUUGGGCCUGGGCUGGACACCAAAAGCAUCUUCGCAGGAUUGGGCUCUUCCUGCGUAGUCCCACUCCGAAGGCGGAAAUAUGCUGUCCGCAUUGUUCCCGCCAAUGGGCAGUAUCAUCUCCGUACACGCCUGCAGCAGAAUAGAUGACUCCGGACUCAUUCAUUUGAACCCGCCAGAGCUAGAUCUUUUCAUUUGGUUGAGAAAUUCAAAGAACGAUUGAUAAAAGUAGCAGCAAUUCAUGUUCAGGGGCAUCGCAGCACAUUAUUAUUAUUUUGAUUAGGAACAAAACUAGAGCGGGAAGGCAUCUAAUCCAAAGGCCGGAGUACUGGAAGUGGAAGGGGGCCAAUAAUUGGAUGACUCGCCAUCACAGUCACAGGAAGGCUUACAGCCUGUACAUCUCCCCCACUCGUACGUGAAGAAGCGGGUCACUUAACUGGAUUCCACCAUGAUAUUAGCGUGGACAUCUCGUUGUUUCAGUGCUAAAAAAAUAAAAAAUUUGUUUUUUUUGUUUUUUGUUUUUUGAGGAAUAGAAAAAAUUGGUUUAGAGUGAGAAAGUGAAGAAUCUUUGUGUCUAGUACUCCUACAAUUUUCCUCGACCAAAUCAGGCCCUCAAAAAGAUUGACCAAUCCCUCAAACUCUUGAAGAAUAUCACUCCGUUUGAGAAAAGGUAAAAGCAUUUAUUAUUAACUUUUAGUUUUGCGUGGCCCUGGAUCCAAUGACUAGGAUAUAUAUUUAUAUAUAGAAAUCCUCCUUCCUGUUUAAGAAUCCAAAGAGCUCUUCAAAAAAAAAAGAAGAAAGAAUCCAAAGAGUUGCUCCCGUGGAAUCGAAUCACAGACCCACUCGUCAUUACGUUCCAUGUUAAUCUGACUUUUGAAUAGCCUGACAGAGACUAUUCUGUCCUCCUUAAUCCUAUCACAAUAAUAAUAAUGUUGUGUGUGUGUGUGUGUGUGUGUGGUUUGCUGUUGAGCUCAGAAUCCGGAUCGGGGGGGGGGGGGGGGGAGAAUAUUCCUUCAUACCUGGUAACAAAUAAGGUUCUUGCUUCUUACUUACCUGCCAUGACCAUUCAUCGAGGCCAUGCGGAUCUGAAUCAUCAUUGAGAUUGAAACACGUGGCUCUUCCGGUCGAGUUGUAGUAGACGUUAGCUGCACCGUACAGCUUCUCAAACGUAUUACUAUUGUUUCCCGCUUUUCGAUCGUCAAUCGCCUUGCACAUCUGCAGCGAAACAUUCACAGAGGUUUGACUUUGCAAAUUUAGUUUCACCCUGUCCUUCCUCUCGUCUUCGAGAGCAUAUUAUUAUUGAUGAAGCUGGGUCGGGUCUCUCCGGUUCAAGUUCUGUUGUUGACUUGUGCAAACUAAUAAAUAAUUGUAAAUCUUUGUACCGACUUAAUUACGCAUAAUUUAUAUUUACAUUAAUAAAAUUGUGGUAACAGAUUACACAGAAUUGGAGAUUGAUUCAUUUGCAAUUAAGUGUAACAACCUUAUUGCAAUUGUUUGAGGGCGGUUGGUGAGAAAUGAUGUGCACCCAAUUGACGUAACAACAGUACCUUUCUUGAUUAGAUUACGUUGCCCAGUCCGAUGGACAAACUGAGCAGUGAGCUUUGUCAAGAUAUUUCAAAUUAAAGCGACUAGUGGUUGUUAAGAAUAAUACAAUACGUCCAAAUGCCAGCUUAAUCCUGGAUGUGUAAUUAAUGUGUUUCCCGCAAGCAUUAGCAUUAGCAUUAGCAAGAGCCAUUUUCCUGCAAAUUUUUUAAGGCUUUCAAAACGUAGUAGUGUAGUACGUACCUGCUUCACCGGAUAGGCUGGCAAAGGAUUGAGAAAAUUGGAUGGAGUUGGGUAAUCCGUCAUGGCCGUGUAAAUAAACGCGGUGGAUAGCCAACUUACAAGAGCACCCGCACUGAUGUAGUUCCUGUGAUUCGAUUUCAUUAAAGCUGCAUGUAUUGAAAUUGUUGGUUGAUGAUUGAUGGCACAUGUACUUCUAAUUACUUGCAUAUUCUGAAGGACUUCCGGAGUGUGUCCAGGCCGCCCGAUUGUUCUGCAGUGUCUUCUAUUAGUUGCCACGAUCCUUUUAUCACUUUGUAGCAGUUCUCGCUCUCGCUCUGUUGUCACAUGCCACAAUGUCGCUGUUAAUCAUACAUAACUAAUAAUAUAUACACCCGCCGCCAACAUUUUCCAGUGUCAAACAAACUAACAUGCAUAUGUACAACUUCAUCGUUGGACUCUAAAUAUUGACACGAUUCUUUCAAUAUAUAUAUAUAUCCGAUUGUACUUUUCUUCUUAAUUUAACUUUAUCUUGAAGCUUGACCUGGCUGGCCGGCCGGCCGGCCGGUGUCUUUUGCUUUGGACGUAUGAUACUAAAAAAUGACCACUACCGAGAGAGACGAAGGAAGAGAGAGAGAGAGAGACAUGCCCUGAAAUCAUUGCCGACGGUGCUGUGGAAGCUGUAUUCAGAUGUUAUGUUGUCAAAAUAGAGGAUUGGUGCAGAGGAUGCCAGGGCUCCUAUUGCAACGUGCGGAUACUUUAGUCUGAACCAAGCUGCAAGCACUGUCAGGAUCAAACCAAUUAAACUGCUCGUGACCAUCAGCUCACUCAAAUUAAUUCCGACUAGAAAAAAAGAAAACCAAACGCACGCCAAAUAAAUAAUGCCAUACUUCCCCCGUAGGAGCCUCCAAACACUACCACGGGCGAAUCAACUGCACUCAAAUUCUUUUUGAGGUCAAUGAUCAAAGUUGCAUAAUCUGCCAAUGCCUGCGUGGAGCUCAAAUAUCCCAGAGUACUUGAGUUUGCAUAAGCCGCGUCUUUAUUGCCCCCGAACGGUAUCGAUUUUCCAUAAAAUCUAUGCUGCAGAUUGAUUUGAUUUUGUACAUGAAUUCCAAAAAAAAAAAAAAAAUCUUCCCAUAAUCAAAGCGUGUACUGAACUCUGUUUCCGUGAACAUGAUGAUGUGCAUGAAAACACGAUAGGAUGGAUAUGAAACAGUAACGAUUCAUAACUAUGUGACAUGUUUUCUUUCCGCCCCAUUAUGUUGCAGCCAGGCCUUUAACUAGUAUUUCUGGAACAAAUAAGAUACAAAUUACCUCGAUGAAAACUAGAAGAGCUUUGAAAUGAGGCGCGUUCUCGAACAUGAAACCUGUAUUUUGAGUAAACCACUCGAUGUCUCCUUCAUUUCCCGUAUAGACGAAGAUUGGGGCAUUUUUCUUAGCGCCGCCCCAGUGUUUGUAAGAGAUUAGAUAUCUCUGUUGAAAGGUUUGAUAACUCUGGGGAGUAAAAGUGAAAUGAUCGAGUAUUUGAGUGUAGUAUUUUGUUUCGUAAAGCUUACUUUUGAUGGAAACAGAUGACGAUGAUUCUGGCCGGAAGGCGGGAGAAGGAAACCUCAAGGUAAUCUUGGCCGAAGAAAUGAGAAGAAGUUGCAACGUCAGAAACAACAAUCUCAAUCUGGUACCACCCAUAGCCAUGAAUUUUUGUGUGCGGUGGUGUGUGUGUGUGUGUUUCGGAGAGCUCUGGGCGAGUUUGUUCUUCCUUCUUCGGAAGGGGGGCGUCGUUAAAACAACGCAGAGGAGAUGAGACCAAAUUAAGCUGUAUUGGUGCCUCGCCUCGUUGGAAUAUUAAACUUCCUUUUUUUUUUUUAUACUAUAUCUUAAAAAAGCAGAUUCGGAGUUGACGAUCGCGGCCAUACCAACCAGCCAACCAAUUAUGAUCCUGGUCAGCAUUAGUCACGACCACUAAUUUGUAAUUACCCUGUGCCCAUCCAAGCCUACCCUUUCUAUAUUGCCCGAACGAAUAUGAUAGAAUCACGUUCGAUCAUAAACUACCAUGCUCUCACGAACCAAUCACUACCAUGGUUCGCCAUCGCAGGUCGCGGUCGCGUCGCAAUCUCAGUUGUUUCACUGCAUAUCGGUUGAAUAUCGGGUGAUAUGAACAUUAUAAUACAUUAAAGUUUCCAAAAAUUUUGAAAAAAUUACUAAAAUUAGAAAAUACUGAAAAAGACACAAUUUAAAAAAAUAUCGGAGUCGACUCCGAGUUGACUCGGAUAUAUCGACCGAUAUCAUGUAUCACGGAUUUGAAUCGGUCAAUAUCGGCCGAGUCAGAGCGAGUCGUCGCGGAUAUGGUGAUAUCCGCGAUUCGGGGAUCGGUAUCGUACCGGUCCCUUCCGUUCCAGAUACGACUCGGCCAAUACGUAUCGGUACCGGCCGAUAUGGCGAACCAUGAUCGCUACAUUUAUCUUCAUAUUAUUUUAAUAAAAAAGAAGAAAAUUAUAUUAAGCGAAUUGAAUUGCUGAAAGUCGUCAAACACGAUGAUUAGCUUGGCUAAUCUGUAUGUAUGUAUACCCAUAUAAAGAACAUGUACAAAGAAAAGAGAAAUGAAAAAUAACGAAUUCAAUAAUGUUUGAAGAGCAAAUAUUUUACAAAAAAAAAAAAAGUUUGCAGAGAAUAAGAAUCUUGUCAGUCUACAAUUAAUUUUAAUUAAUUUACAAAUUAUCAAAGUUAAUUUUUGGUCUUUUCUUUUUUGACCCAUUUCAACAGAAACCAAUUCAGACAGUCCUGCCUUCAAAAGAAAUAUCCUUUUAACAUUUUUAGACUAAAACGGUAGGAAGAUCAAAGAUGAGGCCAGCAACAUUUCAGGAAAGAGGAACAUUAGUUGAUGAAAUAGCAAAAAAUCUCAUUAGGUGUCGAAACGUUUAAAAAAUCAUCUUCCUCACUCACACUACUGUCUGUCAAUGCGAGAGGAUUAACAUCAUUCACAGGAUCGUGUCAAAAGCUCUUAGACAAAAACUGAGACCACAAUUGAUGGACGUGUUUUUUUUUUUUUUAUUCUUUUUCUAUUUUUUUUAAUAACAAUUGAUUCCCUUCCUUAUUUAUAGCAAGGUUUUUAUUAUUUAUAGUCAAUUUCAACAAAUCUAAUUAAUGAUUUGUUUUAUAUAAAUUUGUAUUAAUUGUACCCUAUUUAUUUUUUUUCAAACAAUUUCAAUCACAUUCUAUAUUCCUGAUAUCGGUUCGCGUUUUUCAAUCACAUUCUUUUAUGCGGGGUUGUAAAAGUUCUCUCAAAUUACUUUUCUUAAUUUUUAAUAAUUUAAGUAAAUAAUAAGUUCAUCAUCUAUUAGCUUGCUUUUAAAACUCUUUUUAGUCGUGAAAGAAUAAAAUAUUUAAGGACACUUAUUUCCUAAUAUAUCUCCUUCACCAUUAAUUAGAGUAAACUUUACAAUAUACGAUUAUAUUAAAACUAAUUAUUAAGUUGUUAUAAAUUAAUCAUUUUAAUGUUUGUCUUACAAUUAGUAUAUUAAAUUUUUCUCAAAUAGCAUUUUAAGCUUUUUUUAUAAACAAAUUUUGUUUCGAAAAAAUAAAAAUUGCGGAGUAUAAAAAAAAUGCCCAUGCAAAUGCACAGGAAAGAAACUGGUGUGCUAAUAUUUUCAAGCGUAUUUGUGCAUUUGCUUGGGCAUUAUCUCAUGAGAAGAAGCCAAAAUAAACAUGAUGGUUUAAAACCGCAAGAAGAUUAAAGCAUGAUUAACUCAUUAGAAUCAGAGACUUUUGUACAAGUCACACUCAAAACUGACACAAUUUUCUACAAAAAGAAAAAAAAAAUUACAAAGACAGAUUCCUCUAACAGAUGAGCUGAGAACUUUCCAAGCAUAACUAACAAGAUGUUAAUUCUUUCUUUUAAACACUCCAAUUUGUCUCGAUCUGCGGAGCUAUCCCAGGUCCACAGCCUUCA
RNAcentral lists this long non-coding RNA (19110 nucleotides) under Coffea arabica (coffee). RNAcentral's name for it is "long non-coding RNA (CARA_LNC003959)". Lineage: Eukaryota; Viridiplantae; Streptophyta; Magnoliopsida; Gentianales; Rubiaceae. The record is from RNAcentral.